This 740-nucleotide ribosomal RNA is filed under the name uncultured bacterium. RNAcentral's name for it is "bacterial SSU rRNA". It matches the Rfam family "Bacterial small subunit ribosomal RNA", at positions 790 to 1530 of the family's 1533-position model. The record is from RNAcentral.
GUAGUCCUGGCUGUAAACGAUGUCGACUUGGAGGUUGUGCCCUUGAGGCGUGGCUUCCGGAGCUAACGCGUUAAGUCGACCGCCUGGGGAGUACGGCCGCAAGGUUAAAACUCAAAUGAAUUGACGGGGGCCCGCACAAGCGGUGGAGCAUGUGGUUUAAUUCGAUGCAACGCGAAGAACCUUACCUGGUCUUGACAUCCACGGAAGUUUUCAGAGAUGAGAAUGUGCCUUCGGGAACCGUGAGACAGGUGCUGCAUGGCUGUCGUCAGCUCGUGUUGUGAAAUGUUGGGUUAAGUCCCGCAACGAGCGCAACCCUUAUCCUUUGUUGCCAGCGGUCCGGCCGGGAACUCAAAGGAGACUGCCAGUGAUAAACUGGAGGAAGGUGGGGAUGACGUCAAGUCAUCAUGGCCCUUACGACCAGGGCUACACACGUGCUACAAUGGCGCAUACAAAGAGAAGCGACCUCGCGAGAGCAAGCGGACCUCAUAGAGUGCGUCGUAGUCCGGAUUGGAGUCUGCAACUCGACUCCAUGAAGUCGGAAUCGCUAGUAAUCGUGGAUCAGAAUGCCACGGUGAAUACGUUCCCGGGCCUUGUACACACCGCCCGUCACACCAUGGGAGUGGGUUGCAAAAGAAGUAGGUAGCUUAACCUUCGGGAGGGCGCUUACCACUUUGUGAUUCAUGACUGGGGUGAAGUCGUAACAAGGUAACCGUAGGGGAACCUGCGGCUGGAUCACCUCC